Gallus gallus (chicken) is the source of this 697-nucleotide long non-coding RNA. The record is from Ensembl. Lineage: Eukaryota; Metazoa; Chordata; Aves; Galliformes; Phasianidae.
GAAAGACGUGUCUAGGGUACCACAGAUAUCAGUGUGUUGUGUUUACUACUGUGCCCAUGCUUCCAUCUUGAUGACAAGGAGGACGACUCCUUCAUCAUUCCCACUACAGAAUACACAAUGGUUCACAUCUUGAAACUGUUUCAGUGUUAUUAACCUGGAUUCCAUUUGGAUGAAAUGAAGCCAGAAGAGACGUCAAUGAGAAAAAAAGAACCUAAAAGAAACCUACUUAAUGUUUUAUGACAGAAAUCUAGAAUCAAAUUGAAUUAAGGACAGCAUAGAUGCUGAAACUACUGAAGAAUGCUGCAGUUAUCUCAUCGAGUGAUGUUCAUCAUUGGAGCCUGUUGAAAUACUUCCGCAUGAGGAAGGAAUGAUGCAUAUAAGGAAAUCUUGAAGAGAAGACUUCACAUAUUUCCCGACUAAUCUCUGAUGAGACAGCUUUCUUCCAUUCUUAAAGGAGGAAGAAAGGGAGAAUCAGCAAGUAAAACAAAACAAGAAAAUGAUAUUCAUUCCACAUAACAUAUUUAAUUUGAUCGACAAUCUUUAGCCUGUCAUUGACCAAGAACACCCAAGUAAUGUUUGUUGGAAAAUCUACUCUAAGCUGCUGAACAGUUAAUUUGCCAGUUUUAGUUUUAUGUACAAAAUCAGCUUUGUAUCAAUUUUCCUUCUUUAUAUGCACUCUAUAGAUAUUAAAUAAGCC